This 549-nucleotide ribosomal RNA is filed under the name Sinopotamon fuxingense. RNAcentral describes it as "partial 16S ribosomal RNA". It matches the Rfam family "Bacterial large subunit ribosomal RNA", at positions 1831 to 2625 of the family's 2925-position model. The record is from RNAcentral. Lineage: Eukaryota; Metazoa; Arthropoda; Malacostraca; Decapoda; Potamidae.
GUUUGUUUGGAGCUAUAAAGAAUUUGACCUGCCCCCUGAUUAAUAAAUUAAAGGGCCGCAGUAUUAUAACUGUGCAAAGGUAGCAUAAUCAUUAGGUUUUUAAUUGGAAUCUUGUAUGAAUGGUUGGACAAAAGAAAAACUCUCUUUGUAUUAAAUUUUGAAUUUAACUUUUAAGUGAAAAGGCUUAAAUAUUCUAAGGGGACGAUAAGACCCUAUAAAACUUUACAUUGUAAUUAAUUUUUGAUUGAAUUUGUAAAAUAAGAAUUUUAUUUAAUUAUUUGUUAUGUUGGGGAGACAUAAGUAAAAAUAUUAUUUUAACUGCUUAAUAAAAUUAUACAAUUAUUAGUGAGUAAGUAGAAGAUCCUUUUUAAAGAUUAAUAGAUUAAGUUACUUUAGGGAUAACAGUGUAAUUUCUUUUGAGAGUUCUUAUCGAAAAAGAAGAUUGCGACCUCGAUGUUGAAUUAAAGUAUCUAUAUAAUGGAGAGGUUAUAUAAGAAGGUCUGUUCGACCUUUAAAUUUUUACAUGAUUUGAGUUCAAACCGGUGUAAG